Molecule: ribosomal RNA, 468 nt
Filed under: uncultured bacterium
Lineage: Bacteria
Description: partial 16S ribosomal RNA
Rfam family: Bacterial small subunit ribosomal RNA
Source: RNAcentral
GACGAACGCUGGCGGCGUGCUUAACACAUGCAAGUCGAACGGAAAGGCCCUGCUUUUGUGGGGUGCUCGAGUGGCGAACGGGUGAGUAACACGUGAGUAACCUGCCCUUGACUUUGGGAUAACUUCAGGAAACUGGGGCUAAUACCGGAUAGGAGCUCCUGCUGCAUGGUGGGGGUUGGAAAGUUUCGGCGGUUGGGGAUGGACUCGCGGCUUAUCAGCUUGUUGGUGGGGUAGUGGCUUACCAAGGCUUUGACGGGUAGCCGGCCUGAGAGGGUGACCGGCCACAUUGGGACUGAGAUACGGCCCAGACUCCUACGGGAGGCAGCAGUCGGGAAUAUUGCACAAUGGGCGGAAGCCUGAUGCAGCAACGCCGCGUGCGGGAUGACGGCCUUCGGGUUGUAAACCGCUUUCGCCUGUGACGAAGCGUGAGUGACGGUAAUGGGUAAAGAAGCACCGGCUAACUACGUG